This 1234-nucleotide long non-coding RNA is filed under the name Ornithorhynchus anatinus (platypus). RNAcentral's name for it is "lncRNA (ENSOANG00000045412.1)". The record is from RNAcentral. Lineage: Eukaryota; Metazoa; Chordata; Mammalia; Monotremata; Ornithorhynchidae.
AUGACCUUGGAUCUCCCCCGGUGCUCGGCGCAGGGUAAGCGCUUAAUGACCAUCAUCAUCAUCAACACCCCCAAACGCUCAGUACAGUGCUUAGCACGCAGUAGGCGCUUCACCCCUACUAUUCAUAGUAUUGGGGUGAUGAUGAUGAUGAUGGAGGAGCUCCAGCCGCCCCCUCCCCCAGACUCCCAUAAUUCCCUGGGUCUCGGGUGAAGCCCCCCAACCAGAGUCCCAUAAUUCCCUGGGUUUCGGGUGAAGCCCCCUCCUCAUCCAAACCCCCAUAAUUCCCUGGGUCUCGGGUGAAGCCCCCCAACCAGACUCCCAUAAUUCCCUGGGUCUCGGGUGAAGCCCCCGAACCAGACUCCCAUAAUUCCUUGGGUCUCGGGUGAAGCCCCCCAACCAGACUCCCAUAAUUCCCUGGGUCUCGGGUGAAGCCCCCCAACCAGACUCCCAUAAUUCCCUGGGUCUCGGGUGAAGCCCCCCAGACUCCCAUAAUUCCCUGGGUCUGAGGUGAAGCCCCCUCCUCAUCCAAACUCCCACAAUUCCCUGGGUCUCGGGUGAAGCCCCCCAACCAGACUCCCAUAAUUCCCUGGGUCUCAGGUGAAGCCCCCCAACCAGACUCCCAUAAUUCCUUGGGUCUCGGGUGAAGCCCCCCAACCAGACUCCCAUAAUUCCCUGGGUCUCGGGUGAAGCCCCCCAGACUCCCAUAAUUCCCUGGGUCUGAGGUGAAGCCCCCUCCUCAUCCAAACUCCCACAAUUCCCUGGGUCUCGGGUGAAGCCCCCCAACCAGACUCCCAUAAUUCCCUGGGCCUCAGGUGACCCCCCCCCCAACGAGACUCCCAUAAUUCCCCGGGCCUGAGGUGAAGCCCCCUCCUCAUCCAAACUCCAACAAUUCCCUGGGUCUGAGGUGAAGCCCCCCCCAUCCAAACUCCCACCAUUCCCUGGGUCUGAGGCGAAGCCCCCUCCUCAUCCAGACUCCCAUAAUUCCCUGGGUCUCGGGUAAAGCCCCCUCCCCAUCCAAACCCCCACAAUUCCCUGGGUCUCGGAUGAAGCCCCCCAGACUCCCAUAAUCCCCUGGGUUUCAGGUGAAGCCCCCUCCUCAUCCAGACCCCCAUAAUUCCCCGGGUCUGAGGUGAAGCCCCCUGCUCAGCCUCCCCCCACAAUCCCCCUCGUCGUCCAUGAACCCCCCCCGGCCGACUCCCACCAUUCCCCUUGUCUUCUACGAAGCCCCCCUCAG